GUGCGCCCAUGUGGACAGACAGUGGGAAACAAUAUCUGUCAGGGAGGGGGCGGAACAGGGUUUUUCUCCGGCUCUCAGCGUGUCAGCCGUUCCCAUAGUUACGAACGGGGGCGGGGUUUCUAGCAGCGUAAGGACUUUGCAGGAGCCACUGGGUUCUCCCUAGAGCAUGAAGUUGUGGCUGUAACUGGCUUGUGUUUAUGAUUACAUCUGCAAUACUCAAGAGGAAAUAGAUGCUCUGCGAAAUGGAACUCGGCAAUAUUUCCUUUUGAGAUCUUGGGGGCCGGCCGCAUCGGGACUUUAAUGAAUGACUUGGAAUCUUCUAACCUCCAGGUUUUUGAUCCCCGCCUCUCCCAGGUUUCAGAAUUCCCAGACUAUGCUUUGAGGUUUAUGAAUGAUGUUUGAGCAGAACACUCAUCAGAUGGAUGGGACAGACCCAACUGUCAGCAGUGUCCGA
RNAcentral lists this long non-coding RNA (454 nucleotides) under Rhinopithecus bieti (black snub-nosed monkey). Its description in RNAcentral is "lncRNA (ENSRBIG00000045195.1)". The record is from RNAcentral. Lineage: Eukaryota; Metazoa; Chordata; Mammalia; Primates; Cercopithecidae.